Long non-coding RNA from Nicotiana tabacum (common tobacco), 821 nucleotides. RefSeq lists it as uncharacterized. NCBI's taxonomy places the organism in Eukaryota, Viridiplantae, Streptophyta, Magnoliopsida, Solanales, Solanaceae. The record is from RefSeq and is a predicted model, not a curated record.
UUUUCCAGUUCUUGAACUAAUAGUCCCACACCGACCACGAACUGAAGCUCUUCAGAUUUUAUACCCCGAAGCUCAACAGUGGAGUUUCUCUCUUCGGGGACAUCGGAUAAAACUGGAACGAUACAGUGAAGAUUAGCAUGGCCUUUGCAAGGAUGACACACGCAAAUUGAAAAAUUAUCCAAAUUUUGUUUUGCCCUCUCGCCGGCGGCGAUUCUCCGGUUCAAAUUCUUUUUUUGCCAGACGUUGCGCCGAUACACUUUCUUAAGAGCGCACUUUGGAGAUGUCAGUUCUUAACAAGUUUGGUUCAAUAGGGUUUGGAAUUGCUUACCCUUUACUCCUGAAAUUAUGUUCAAGAAAAGAUUUGUUAAUAAUUUGUUUUUUACUUCAGAAAGAUAACAAUGGUAUAUUAUUUUCUUCAACUUCUAGUCUAUGUACUUUAGAGUUUAGAAUAUGUCAUUUACGAAGACUUUCAUAAACUAUGUAGAGAAGUCAAAAGAGCAGUCAAUUAGCUUUGCAUAGAAGGAACACAAAAAAGAACUAAGUUGGUGUAUUGAUAAUUUAUGCAUAACAUUAAUACAUGAACUAAAGGAGAGCAGAUCCUACUCGUUGUGUUUGUUAGAGCCCUCGACGUUGGUUGAAGGAAUGAUAUGCAGUCUCUUUAUGCGGUAUAAGAGAAUCCUCACUUCUUGAAGUAGCUUUUUGAGCCGAGUUCAGGCACAUAUUUAUUUUCUUUGCAUGUUAUCAAGAAUCAAAUGUAUACAAUUAUUUAUUUAUCCAAUAUUGGGUCUCAUUUAUGUUAUUAAGCACCGUGCGGGUUGUUA